Molecule: ribosomal RNA, 140 nt
Filed under: uncultured eukaryote
Lineage: Eukaryota
Description: partial 18S ribosomal RNA
Rfam family: Eukaryotic small subunit ribosomal RNA
Source: RNAcentral
UGGUGGAGUGAUUUGUCUGGUUAAUUCCGUUAACGAACGAGACCUUAACCUACUAAAUAGCUACAUUUAGGUAAAACUAAGUGACUAGCUUCUUAGAGGGACUUUGCGUGACUAACGCAAGGAAGUUUGAGGCAAUAACA